CAGGUCCUAUUUUUCACUUAAAAUACGUUGUUUUGUUAGUUGUUUGAUGAGUAGAGGAAUACCCUCAGCUGUACUUUAAAUUCAAGUAAAGCCUUUCUGGUCUCUUUGUUUUCAGUAAACUAUAGGACUGCCGCACCCUUCUUUUCUGAAAAAAGUAAACUUAUGUUGGGCAGGGGACUUUGGAUGUCGAAUUAAAUGACGCUGGGAGGCAGCAAGCAGCCGCAGUAAGUUACAAACUGUAUGUAUACGUGCUAUUUGAGGAACUCAUAUGACAGUUUUGAGCCUUACGUACCCUUCGCUUGUUAAUGUCUGACAAAUUUUUCGUUUACGCCCUGUAGCUGGGUGAUAGAUUAUCCAAGGAUCCCAAAAUCUCCCUUGUAUAUUCUUCAGACCUGAGUCGAGCUUAUGAGACUGCACAGAUAAUUGCAUCCAGGUGCGGUGGGCUAAAGGUAGGUAAUAUUUUUUUGUACUUCGUUGCAUCUACUAAAGCAAAGCAGAUUCCGUAAAUUAUAGUACCGCAACUGCUUUCUUCAUGCUCUAAUCUAGAAAUUUUGGACAGAAAUGAAUUUGGAAGCUGGGUGUAUAAAUUUACCGCGUUUUGGUAAUAAGUAGACAACAAAAUGGAGUCAACUCAGCUAAAUCAGUGCUACAGAAAAAUGAUACUGGAUAAAAUCUAAUUUCGAUCUGAAACCAAAUGUAAAAAAUCUUUUGGGUUAAAUUCAGGUUGUUACCGAUCCUGAUCUACGAGAAAGGCAUAAAGGUGUUCUUCAAGGACUUGCAUACCAUGAAAUUCCCAAACUGUAUCCUGAGGCUUACCAGGCCUUUUUAUCUGGUGACACAAGUAAAGAUUUCCCGGUAAGCAAUCUUCUUUUACUUGGGUUUUGAGCAUGCAGCAAUCGGUACUUGUUUGAAUUUUGUAAGCAGAUAUAACAUCCACAUUAUAAAAGUACUCCAAUGAGAAAUUUUAUGGAAUUGGUCGGUGCGCCUUGAUUUCGGACUGUCUUUCCGAAAUCUUGGUACCGCCUGUCUUCACAGUCGGGGAGAGAGGACUCAUAGCAUAUAAGAUUGUAAUAUUAGUAAUGUUGUUUCCUGCCUAAUUAUACAAUACAAAUUUAUGUUGAUUCCAUUAUUCUACCCAUGUAGGGUGCUGAAGAAAGUCUUGAUCAACAUUAUCAACGCUGCACAUCUUCGUUGCAGCGAAUUGGCAAUAAACACAAAGGUAUGUUAUCACGGGCGGAUGUCGCAUUUGUAUUUUUACUGCUACGGAAUUCGUAAAAAUUUUGUUUGAGAUUACAUGAGUACUUAAGAAAACUAACUGGUUCUUUGUUGAAUGUAACACAUGUCAGAACUAAGCCGCAAUAACAAAUGCCAAUUUAGAUCAGUGGCGACAAAAAUUACAAUCUGAAUGUUUAUAUCUGGCUUGUUACAAUCGCAGGAGAGCGAGUAGUUGCGGUCACCCAUGGGGCGGUCAUACAUACACUCCUCACGAAGGGUUACCCAAAUGGCGAUUUUAUUGGCAAAAUUAUACCCAAUACAUCGAUCCAUGUAUUUCGCUUGUACGAUGACGAAAAAUGGACCGUAAAAUCCUUAGGUGAUGUUAGUCACCUCAACCAAACUGAUUUUUUGUAAUCAGCUCUCCGUGGGGACGAAAAAUCUGCCUAGUCCGUGUGUCGGGUUCUCUCGCAAUUUGUAGUAAUGAAUUGAAUGCUGGAACUGCCUAGUCACUAUUCAGUAACAAUGUCAUUUAGCUGAUGCUGGAUUAUCGCAUUAAGGUGGCCUAUGUUCUUGAGAAUAAUAUGUCGUAUUGCUUGAUAUGGUUAUUGGAUUGGAAGAAGUUCAAGCAUAAGAUAAUUUAUUAUUUAGCAAAUGCAAUCUGUUAAAAAUUAUACUAUAUAUGCUCUGAAGUAUCUUAUGCACUAAGGUUUUGGCAAUUAAUUCUUGGUCUUGGAUUUCUAACAGCCUAAAACCUCAGUGUAUAGUAUGCGUCGGAGCAUUAAUCCCGCAUCAUUAUAUGCCAACAUCAAUUAGGACACUAUCAUGUGAGAUGGAAUCGUUUCUCUAAUUGGAAUGAGGGAAGUAUUGUCCUUCCAAAAAAGUCAUAUUCCACCCCUUACGGAUGGAAAAAAAAGAUUAACAAGUGUAAAAUUAUUUUUAGAGAGCCAAUAGCAAUUUUUAAAAAUAAAUAUACUUUCAUACACGAAAUGACAAUAUAUACGAAAUUUUAAUAUGUUUUGUACGUAGUAUAUGAGGACCUUAGAGACUUACAGAUCAGAAAUCCAAUGUAGGGAUCUUUCGAAUUAAAGAAUCUUAGAUUAUGGACUCUUGUAGGUAGUCGAUGAUCUGAUUGUUGGAUCGUUAUCGAAUUUUAGUAUGUUAUUGUAUUUAUUAUGUAAGGACCUUUGGAAUCUACUAAUCGGAAAUCCGAUAUACAAAUCUUCCAGAUUGAAGGAAAUACGGUAGACUUUACAGUGGUUAGCUCCAUUAAUCUUAGUGAAGUGAUAUUUGGUCUUAAUGGAUGAUUAACGUAAUUAAAUGUUAAUAUGGUGCUUCUUUGAUUCAUUGGAUCAAUUAUUUUCUCGUGAUUGUUGACUUGUCAUUGGAAGAUAGUGUGAGGUAUGUGAUGGAUGAAAUGGAAUUCUUGGUUAUUAUAUAUUUUUUUUAAGUAGUCUAGAAUCUAGUGAAUUAUACUCGUUGAGUUCCAUGGAGUGAUUCUGGAACUUUAUGUUAUUUUCCUAUUGAGAGAUGCCAUGAGAAACGUCGGGGUUAAUAAUGGUGAACUGAGAAUGGCUUGAUUCCGUUUUAAGGUACAUAACCAAUCUAACAGAGGUUAUAUAUAGCCAUGGAAUAAAAGAAGAAUUGCUGCGUAGUGGAACCAUUGAUUGGGUUUUGGGUCAUGCCUCGGAGGUGAGACAUGAGAGACGUGCAAGUACUUGGUGACGUCAAAUGUUGAUCCUGACCUCAGGAUCAGGGCGUGAUAAUCUCAACUAUCUGAAUUUGCAUAUAUUAUCCCUCUAGUAGAUUAAAAAAAAAUUAAUAUAUACAUAACUAAUGUGCCAUUUUUGUUUAAAUAAAUGAAUAAAAUUAAAGGCUUGUUUGAUAAUUAUUCUAGUUUUUUAUUUUAAUUUUUUUUUAAAUCAAAAAAUUUUUAGUAACUGUUUUCAGUUGAAAACAAUGUGACAUAAAGAUCAAAACCAAGCCAAAUAUAAAAGAACUUUUCCGUUAGCACCCUUUCCCUUAGUGUAGAUAAUAUCAUUUGUUUAAAAAAAAAAAACAAGUAUGUGUAGGAUGUUUUAAGUAUGUAGGAUGCAUUCAACAACAUAUAUGGGGUGCCAAUAAAACAACCCUUGAAGAAGCUUGUGAUUUAAUAAAAACCUGGCGUUAGAUUACAUAUUGAUUAUAGUCCAUUGAUGUGUGCUUAGUUCAAAUUAACUAAUGUUUAUUUUAUUCAAUGUCUCCCAUUAAAUAUUUAAAUUUAUUAAUAAACACAUUUUAAUUUAUUUUUUGUCACAGUCCGUUCCGAAAUACUUUUAUCGAAGGUGUGAAAAGACUAGAAUGCCCUUGGGCGUUGAGAUGAGUCGUAUAUGACAUGGUUUUAGAAGUGGACCAAUAUAAUUAUUUUCCUAAGUUUUUGGGGCCUAUGAGAACUAAACCUUGGUUAGUUGUGAUUAGUGUAUAGAUUGGACCACACACACACAUCCACAUUACUUUAUCUCUCUCUUCCCUCCCGUGUUCUCUCUCUAUCUCUCAGAUUCUCUCUCUUCUUCGAAAUGGUACGGACAAGCACCCAAGACCCUUGAAACUUCACGGAUCAUGGCCAAAAUUAGUACCAUUGUGCUCGUGAGGACCAUACGAGUUCAAAGGUACCCAUUUCAGGUAAGAACUCGUUCGAUAUCACGUUGAAAAUUCAAGCUCCAAGUUGAGCACUAUUCAUGAACUUUUAAAUGGUUAUGUUUUAUGACAAUCCAAGCUUGUAGGAAGCUUAGUGAGGUCCCCAGGAAGCUUGGAGUGCUUUGUUUGAAGGUUUUGGACGUCGGGUUUGUGUGGACGAAGUUUGGCCGGUUUUCUUUGAAUUCUCCGGUGAGAUUCUGUGACUUUUAGAACUUUAAAUUAGUAUGAUUGUGUUCUACAAGUUAAGAGCUUCAUUUUGGUAUAAAAUACUUGAAAAGUGGUGCAAAAACGAGUGAGAAAUGGGCAGUUGCAGGUCUGCCCAGAAUCCGGCACUGGUAACAUAGUUCUAGCGUCUGAAGGUUGAAGACGAUGCGCGUGGGCCGCGCGUGAAGCCAUGCCCUCCCCAGUGCGUGGGGGCGGGUGAGCCACCUAAAAAUUUAUCUAAAAAUAUCACAAUGUUCAUGAGGUUGUGUAGGUCACGUUGGUAUAUUUAAAUACCAAAAUUGAUCAAUGUAUGAGAAGUUAUUAGCUAGUUUUGUAUAUGUGCUUUAAAAUAACAUUUUUAUAGUUAAUUCGCAUAGAGGUGAGACUUAUCCCGAGGACGAGCGUAUCCACGAGCGACUCGGGGGCUACGACCCUUCGACAUACCAGUGAGUGGGCUUUUGUUUUCAGUAUAUACUUAUAUACUUGAUAUAUUUCCCAGAAAUGCAUUUUUAAGCAAAGUAUGCUUAGAAAUAAUAUGCCAAAUGCUUCUAUAUUUUGAAUAUGCAUUGCAUUGUUGCAUAUGUAUAUAUAUAAAUGUGGUGUUGUGGAGGCACAGGUGAGUUCAGGUAAGUUAUGUUUGGUUGUGUGAAUCAUCGACGAUGUGAUAUGUGAUUAAGUAAUGUUGAGCUCAUAAAGCUGCACCUAGGAUGAUUGUGAAUUAGCCAGAGAUAUGAAGUACAUGCUUGUUUAUUUACGUCACCUCCCGCACUAUAUGCUCAUAUUGGAUCCAACUUAAGUGCACAGUCUUGUCGUACAAACCUUAUUCAUGGUUCCGACUCGUAGGUGACUAGCGAUUUAUCGUCCGGCUAUUAUGAGAGAAUAGAGUUGAGCAUAAUUAUAUUACACCCAACCUUAUCAUACAGACCCUGUCUAGGGGUUCCGACUUAUGUGUAGUAUAUUACCGUAUAGGUCACAGUAGUGACUCCGGCUAGAUUGAGUUUGAGCUAUGAAUUCAGCCGUAUAGACUACCACAGAAGUUCCGGCUAACAUAUCAUAUUUCUAUGAAAUUAUUAUUACCUGGAUUGUUUACUUUGUUACAUUUUGGCAUGGCAUACAUAUGAAUAUGAUUAUGUGAAGCAUGAACUGAAUUGAUAUGAUUUCAGAUAUAUAUAUAUAUGUAUAUGUAUGUAUAUGUGUAUGCUUAUAUCUUGAUUCUGGGAAAAUAAUACAUAUUUUACAGCGAGGGGUUAGUAUAUUGAUAAAUGAAAUGAUUUUGUAAAACAUUUGUUUUUGCCCACUCACGUUUUCUGUUUUGCGCCCCUCUAGGUUCUAAGUAAGCUUGCUGUUGGUGGCUCAGGAUCGUCGGCAGUUCUGACCUAUUUGAUUAAUAGUAGGACAUUUCUGAUACUGUGUACUAGUACUUGUCCUACUAGACUGCACCUAGACUUUUUACGCUCUGAUUAAGAGUGUUUACGGUUGUAACUAACUUCUAUCACUCCCUACUAGCAGUACACUCUAUUAAUGUGGUUUUAAAUUAUUCGUAUAUUUGCUAUCUUUAUCUCUUCUGCACUGUGCACAUGGCUACGUCACUCUCACGUGACAACCAGCAUGCCUUGACCUCAGUCAAGGUGUGUCAUUUUUUGACCAAAAAAAGUUUUUUAAUUUAUUAGUUUUAUUUAGCAUUCUUCAAAGUUGAAAGACUCAAUUAAUGUACCUAAAUGUUAGUACCGAAAUGUAUUAUAUUGAAUUAAUAUACCUAAAUGUUUGUAUCAAAAUAUAUAUACUGAAAUGUGUGUACCUAAAUGUAUGCACCAAAAUAUAUUAUAUUGAAUUAAUAUACCUAAAUGUUUGUAUCAAAAUAUAUAUACUGAAAUGUGUGUACCUAAAUGUAUGCACCGAAAUGUAUUAUAAUGAAUUUGAUAUAUCUAAAUGAAGAAAACAAGGUAUAUCUAAAUAUAUUGUAUAACAUAAAUUAGUUUAUCUAAGAUUUACAACAAAAUAUAUUACGAUGAAUGAAAUAAAAAUUAUAAUUAUAAUGAAAUAUAAUUAAUAUAUUAAAGUUAGGAAGAAAAAGAGAAAUAAUUAAAACAUCAAAAUUAAUUAAUAGAUGAGGUGAUUAAUGUAUCAAGGGACUAAAAUUAGAUUUUGAUCUUACUUAUGGUUUUAAUCUAAAUGUCAUCUUUGCUAAUUAUUAAAAUAAAGUUUCCUAAUAUAAAAACUACAAAAAAAAUUGUUUUAAUUUUUUAUUUUCAGUAUUUAUACCAUGGAAAUUUUCAGUUUCUAAAAAAUUGACAUACAUUAUUUGGUGGGAAAGUAAACGGCCAAAAGAACUAGAUUCCAAGCAAGUUCCAUGUCCUUUUACAAACAGUCAGAUUCUUCUUCUAUUUAAGGCUAAAUAGCUAAAAUGGUCCCUAAGAUUUGCACAACUUAUCACUUUGGUCCCUAACAUUUCAAAUCGAUAAAAGUGGUCCCUGAGAUUGUCCACCAUCCAUCAUUUUAAUCAUUCCGUUAAAAACUCCGUUAAGUGUCCAGGAGCUCUUGGCCGGAAGUUUGAGCAAUUUUCAAAGCUUCGUAACUCAAUCGUUUCUUAACCAAAUUCGACCCAUAAUAUAUCAAAAUGAAGAUAGGAAAGUGUAGAAUACGAUUAUACCUAUUUAGAAGCCCAAUGGAUGCCAGAGAUGCCAGAAAAUAGCCUCAAAGUUGACUGGUCCGAGGGAAAACUGGAAAACUCGCCGGAAACUGAGUAAACUUUAAACGUUCAUAACUUCUUCAAUACUCAACGAAAUCAAGUGAUUCAAAAACAAAAAUUAUAAUUCUCAAUGAGACGAAGAUCAUGGUACCUUUGUAGAUGGUUAAAGCACCAUGGUUUAGUCGGAAAACGGCUCGAAAGUGGCUAACUCGAGACCAAGACAGCCACUUUCAAGCCGUUUUCCAGCAAAAAAAGGGUGAUUUAGCCAUAAAAAAAUGUAUCAUUCUCUUUGUCUCGUUGAGAAGUAUGAUUUUUGUUUUUGAAUCACUUAAUUUCAUUGAGUAUUGAAGGCAUUAUGAACGUUUAAAGUUUACCCAGUUUUCGGCAAGUUUUCCAGUUUUCCUUCGGCCAGUCAACUUUGAGGGUAUUUUCCAGCUAUCUCUGGCAGUCAUUGGGCUUCUAAAUAGGUAUAAUCUUAUUCUACACUUUCCUAUCUUCAUUUUUGUAUAUUAUGGGUCGAAUUUGGUUAAGAAACGAUUGAGUUACGAAGCUUUGAAAAUUGUCCAAACUUCCGGCCAAGAGCUCCAGGACACUUACCGAAGUUUUUAACGGAAUGACCAAAAUGAUGGAUGGUAGACAAUCUCAGGGACCACUUUUAUCGAUUUGAAAUGUUAGGGACCAAAGUGAUGACUUAUGCAAAUAUCAAGGACCAUUUUGACUAUUUAGCCUCUAUUUAAUUAACAAUGACUACAACGCGCAAUCUAAGUACUGGUUUGAUACUGAUGUGCUUUUAUAAAAAAUGGGUAUAAAAAAAGCUGAGCUCAAAAAAGUGUUUGGUAAACACUUAAAAACAACUUAUUUUCACAGUUUUGGGUAGACUUGGCAUUCGUGUCGUGUUUUCCGUGUUCGUGUCGUUUUCGUAUCAUACCCGAUAUCUUAACGGGUCGUGUCGUGUAACACCCGUUAAAAUAAACGGGUAAAAUGACCCGACCCGAAAUCGACCCGAUAAUAUUCACAGGUAAUAUGACCCGACCCGUUACCCGUUAAGGAAAAUAUAUUUUAAACCAAUAAAUAAUCAAAUGAAAAACAUAAUACUAAAUAAGUAUAUACAUUCCAUAUUAUCACAUCCAAAACAUAAAAACGCAAUUUUGUUUUAAGUAUAUUUUCGCUUACCUAAAGUCUUUAAUAGUUUUUUUAAUUAAUGUAGAAGUGUAAAAAAAUAUAGAAAACAAAUAUAUAAACACUCGUAAUGACAAUCUUUAUAACUUUCAUGAAGAGCUUAACUUCGAAAUUCGCCACUAUAAUCAUAUAAAUCAUAGAUCAAAAUUUAACCGUUGAUUGUUGUUUACAUUUAUGUUUCAUUGUUCUCAUCAAAUUUCGUUUUUUUAGAUUUUCUUUUUUGAAAACAUGAUCUAUUAGAGGGUGCAGGUAGAUGAACGGUUUGGAUCGUUGAUAUUAUAUUUAGAGUUUUACGGUUAGUGAAAAUAUUGCUUGAUGUUUAUAAAGUUUCUACAUAUUAUAUGACAUUGACUCAUAUUUCAGUUAACUGUAAAUAUCGAAACGUGAUAUCAUCUUCUUACAUCCGCCAGAUGAUCAUGUUUUCAAAAAAUAAAAUUUUAAAAAUAAAAUUCAGUAAGAAGAAUAAAGCGUAAAUGACAAUCGACGGUUAAAUAAAUUUAAGGUUUUACUACUACAAAAUUAUCUAUUGCUAGCGGUCCAAAAACUUUUUUCAACGAUCCAACCAUCAAACUUAUUUGUACACAUUCCAAGAUUGCAUACAUAAAAAAUCGUAAAAAACAAGCAUUCAGAGAUUACGUAACAGAACAAAAGUUUUCGACGGUUAUAAACGAAAAAUCACAAUUUAACUGUUAUUUUAGCUCCGAUUUUGAUGAUUUUUUAGAGAUACACUCCUCGACCUUAUAAGAAUGUAAUGAAUAAAUUUGAUCUUUAAUUUAAAGUAUUUACACUUGUGGAUACCACAAAAACUUAUUUUAUACUUAAUAGAAGUAUAAUAUUAACUCUAAGUGUUUGUUUAAUCUACCGUUUUGAUGCAAUAUGCAUUCUACGAAACUUUUUUCAACGAUCCAACCGUCAAACUUAUUUGUACACAUUCCGAGAUCGGAUACGUAAAAAAUCGUAAAAAACAAACAUUAAGAGAUUACGUAAUGGAACAAAAGUUUUCGACGGUUAUAAACGAAAAAUCACAAUUUAACGGUUAUUUUAUCUUCGAUUUUGAUGAUUUUUUACAGCUAGACUCCUCGACCUAUAAGAAUGUAAUGAAUAAAUUUGAUCUUUAAUUUAAAGUAUUUACACUAGUGGAUACUUAAUAGAAGUAUAAUAUUAACUCUGAGUGUUUGUUUAAUCUACUGUUUUGACGCAAUAUGCAUUCUACAAAACUUUUUUCAACGAUCCAACCGUCAAACUUAUUUGUACACAUUCUGAGAUCGCAUACGUAAAAAAUCAUAAAAAACAAACAUUCAGAGAAUACGUAACAGAACAAAAGUUUUCGACGGUUAUAAACGAAAAAUCACAAUUUAACGGUUAUUUGAGCUCCGAUUUUGAUGAUUUUUUACAAAUAUACUCCUCGACCCUAUAAGAAUGUAAUAAAUAAAUUUGAUCUUUAAUUUAAAGUAUUUACACUAGUGGAUACCACAAAAACUUAUUUUAUACUUAAUAGAAGUAUAAUAUUAACUCUAGGUGUUUGUUUAAUCUACCGUUUUGACGCAAUAUGCAUUAUACGAAACUUUUUUCAACGAUCCAACCGUCAAACUUAUUUUUACACAUUCCGAGAUCGCAUACGUAAAAAAUCGUAAAAAACGAACAUUCAGAGAUUACGUAAUGGAACAAAAGUUUUCGACAGCUAUAAACGAAAAAUCAUAAUUUAACGGUUAUUUUAUCUCCGAUUUUGAUGAUUUUUUACAGAUACACUCCUCGACCCUAUAAGAAUGUAAUGAAUAAAUUUGAUCUUUAAUUUAAAGUAUUUACACUAGUGGAUACCACAAAAACUUAUUUUAUACUUAAUAGAAGUAUAAUAUUAACUAUAUGUGUUUGUUUAAUCUACUGAUUUGAUGCAAUAUGCAUUCUACAAAACUUUUUUCAACGAUCCAACCGUCAAACUUAUUUGUACACAUUCCGAGAUCGCAUAAGUAAAAAAUCAUAAAAAAAAAACAUUCAGAUAUUACGUAUCGGAACAAAAGUUUUUUACGGUUAUAAACGAAAAAUCACAAUUUAAUAGUUAUUUUAGCUUCGAUUUUGAUGAUUUUUUACAGAUACACUCCUCGACCCUAUAAGAAUGUAAUGAAUAAAUUUGAUAUUUAAUUUAAAGUAUUUACACUAGUGGAUACCACAAAAACUUAUUUUAUACUUAAUAGAAGUAUAAUAUUAACUCUAAGUAAUUGUUUAAUCUACCGCUUUGACGCAAUAUGCAUUCUAGGAAACUUUUUUCAACGAUCCAACCGUCAAACUUAUUUGUACACAUUUCGAGAUCGCAUACAUAAAAAAUCGUAAAAAACAAACAUUCAGAGAUUACGUAAUGGAACAAAAGUUUUCGACGAUUAUAAACGAAAAAUCACAAUUUAACGGUUAUUUUAGCUCCGAUUUUGAUGAUUUUUUACAGAUACACUCCUCGGCCCUAUAAGAAUGUAAUGAAUAAAUUUGAUCUUUAAUUUAAAGUAUUUACACUAGUGGAUACUACAAAAACUUAUUUUAUACUUAAUAGAAGUAUAUUAUUAACUCUAAGUAUUUGUUUAAUAUACCGUUUUGACGCAAUAUGCAAUCUACAAAACGUUUUUCAACAAUCCAACCGUCAAACUUAUUUUACACAUUCCGAGAUUGCAAACUUAAACAUCGUAAAAAGCAAACAUUCAGAGAUUACGUAACAGAACAAAAGUUUUCGACGGUUAUAAAUGAAAAAUCACAAUUUAACGGUUAUUUUAGCUUCGAUUUUGAUGAUUUUGUACAUAUACACUCCUCGACCCUAUAAGAAUGUAAUGAAUAAAUUUGAUCUUUAAUUUAAAGCAUUUACAUUUUUUUUAUAUAUGAGUGAUUGUAUAUAUAUAUUUUUUUACAUUUUUUACACUUCUACAAUAAUUAUUAUUAAUUUUAUUAAUUUUGCCCUCAAAUAAAAAACAUUAUUCAUGAGGGUUUGAAGGAUUUUAAAAAUCUAAACGAUAAUAUAAGUGUAACAAUUAUCUAUUCGUAGAGGAAUAAUGAUAAAUCACGAGUGUUUAUAUAUUCUUUCACAUUUUUCAUACUUGUAUGUAUGUCUUCUUAGUUCUUGCAUAUACAAAUACUAUACUAGUAUAUUUUAAUUUUGGACAAGAAUAUGUUAUGUAAAAUUUAUCCUAGUAAUGAUAAUAAGGAACUCUCAUAAUAAAAAUAAAUAAUGACUAAAACUUUUUUUUUUUAUAAUUUAUAUAGAACAAUAAUACAAAACUAUAUAUUUAAUAUAGAAUAUAUUGUAUAUAUUAAUAUGACUAUUGUAUUUUAUAAUAAAUCUUUUAGUAAUUAAACUUUAAAAUUAUUAAAAUAUUUUUUUUCUUAACAGGUCGAAACGGGUUACCCACGUGUUACCCGCGUGUAUACCUGUUAAGAACCCGUUAUUAACAGGUUCUUAACAGGUCACCCGAUAGUGACUUGAUAAGGUAUCGUGUUGACCCGAAACCCGUUAUUUUCGUGUCGUUUUCGUGUCGUGUCACCGUGUCGUGUCAAAAACUGCUAGGUCUAGUUUUGGGUGAAAAAAGUUGAAAACGUGAAAUAGCAAAAAUGAGCUUAUUCUCACAGCACAACAAUAAUAGUUUUUUUUUCAAAGUACAGUAAUACCAAUCAGUCCUAAGUCCUCUUCUCUCACUUUCACUCGAAAAAUGAUCAUUCCCUAUGGAUUCCAGGGAUCUCGUGAUCGUGAUCAUUCAUCAUACAUCAUUCGAUCAGAAAUCAUUAGAAAUUUAAAAUUUAAAAUUAAAUAUAAAUAGUAGCUAACGAAAACUGACCAUACAAUAUAUAAUGAAUGACCACGAUCACGAAACCCCUAAAAAAAUGAUACGAGGAGGAUCUUUUCCCUUUCACUCAACCCCCUCACGCUGCACGCAGCUCGCAGCUCAGCAUUGACUUAUACGGCGGCGGCGUCAGCUCCCGAUUCAUUCUCCUUGUAACCCUAUCCUCCAUUUCCUUCCAAUCGCAUACUUUUGUCAAUAAACUGAAAAAAAAAAAGAAAAAAAAAGAAAAAAAAAAAAGAGCUUUUAAUUCAAUGGUUCUUAUAAUCUUGUGGAUUCAAUGCAACUGCGUUGACUCGGAUUAAAAAGCUUUAAAUAAAUUUAUUACCAGGUCAUAUAGAAGAUUGCUUGUAACAAAAAGAGUAUAAAUGAUCAUAUGGUUGAAAUCGCUCAGAAAAAUAAACACUUCAUAGAGAAUUCGAAGUAAUAACUCAUCGAGGUUUAAAAGAAUUGUAGCAUUUAUAGAGCAAAAUCACUUGAUUUCAAGCCAUCAUAUGUUAUUCGUAUCAUGUUUUUAUACCACAUUUUCAUACCACCUUAGAUGACAUUUGAUGUAGACAGCCACAUCAUUUGAAAAAUUUGCAAAACCUAAGGAAAAGAAGAAGAAAGAUUCUUUGUAUACCACAAUAAUUAUUUAAUUAACUAGUUUUUCUUAAUUAUUAAUUUAUUAAAUAAUGAACUAAAUUUAAAAAUCUGAUUAACUCAAAUGAUAGACUCUUCUUCAAAUGCCACCUAGGGUGGCUGUCCAUAUCAAAUAUCAUCCAGAGUGGUAUAAAAAUAUGGUACAAAAAAUAUGAAUAGCAUUACUUUUUUUUUUUAUGCACAAAUAAAAGACAAAAAACUGUGACAAUUUUCCAUAGUUGGUGGAAAAGUAAACGCCUGCAACAAAGACUAGAUUCCAGGAAAUUUCCAUGUCUUUUCACAAACAAUAGACUCUUCUUCUAUUUAAUUAACAAUGAUUGCAAUGCGCACUCUUAACCUCUCACUUUCACUCAACCCCUUCGCGCCUCACGGAGCUCGCGGCUCUGCGUUGACGCGGCACCGCCGCGUCGUCAGUUCUCGAUUCAUCCAUGGCGGAGGCCCAUUCCUGGUCCGAUCUCCCUCUCAUUCUCCUUGUAGGCUUGUACCUCAAUUCCCCGUUUCCUUCCAAUCGCAUACUUCGUCAAUAAAUUGAAAAAAAUGAAGCUUUAAAUUCAAUCCUUGUUUAAAUCUUGUGGAUUCAAUGCAGCUGUGUUGACUCGGAUUACGCGGAGAUCAUUGUAGUGCGUCACGGCGAAACAGUCUGGAAUGCUGAGGGUAGAAUCCAGGUCUUCUUUUUCACUUAAACUACGUCUUUUUGUUAGUUGUUUGAUGAGUAGAGGUGUAAGUUUUGAGUUAGCUCAUAUGUUCAUAGCACAAUCUAAAAUCUUUAUAUGUUCUAAUUCUGAACUCCGGAUAAUAUCAAACUUGUUAAGCAAGUAAUCAUUAAGACAAUGAAAAUGGUAUUUUAGAGUACAAAUAACGCCGUGUAAUGAUGUUCGUUCCAUCAGAAAUUGUUAUGGAAUCAUAAUGUUGUUUUAUCCUCAAUUGACAUUUUUCGCUAUUACGUGACUACGUCAUUAGCAUUGCUGGUAGGGUAACGUAUUCUUUGUUCGUCAUUUAUAUAUCUGCAUACCUUUCUACUGGAUUUGGAUCGCUGAUUAAGUAAGGCUUUUCUGGUUUCUUUGUUUUCAGUAAAUUAGAGGAAUACCCUCUGUGGUCUGUACUUUGACUGAUGUUUGUGUUUAGUACGUGAAUUUUGGAAUGGGUCACUUUGCCCCUUGUAACUUCAAUUCAAUGAUUUAAAGUGGACAUCUGUUAUCUUUCCUGUCAAAAAUGAUCAUGCAUCGCACACGCCACGCUUUCUUAGGGGCAUUUUGUAGCUCCAAAGGAACCGCAAGAGAAAGGAAAAUGAGGUGGUUUUGAUGUCUGCCUACGAAGAACACUAUAUUGCUCAUUUAAAGUAAGAGAAAAACAUUAAGUGUGCAUCGAGGUGGCGCUGCCACGACAGGCACCAAGCAUGAGUAGAUUUUCUGGAUCAUUAGUGCAAUUACCCUUCUUUUCUAAAAAACGUAAAUUUGUGUUUGGCAGGGGAAUUUGGAUGUUGAAUUAAAUGACGCUGGGAGGCAGCAAGCAGCUGCAGUAAGUUACAAAC
Molecule: long non-coding RNA, 13945 nt
Filed under: Malus domestica (apple)
Lineage: Eukaryota; Viridiplantae; Streptophyta; Magnoliopsida; Rosales; Rosaceae
Description: long non-coding RNA (MDOM_LNC014978)
Source: RNAcentral